GCACCGUAAUCAUAAAAGAUAAGACGUCGUCAGUCUGCCAUUCGGCAGGUAGGCUAAAGCAUCUCACCUUCAGUCGUAUUUUCGAUUCUGUAAGAUGUCGACGUGUUUCGGGGAGUGAACGGUUCCCUAAAAAAAUAUCGGCGAAGCACGGUCGAAAAACGGUUUGGGUCGCUAUGGGCGAUUUGAAGAACAGCAACAACGCUUUGAUCAACUCCGAAAUAAGAUUAUCCGGAAGGAGGGUCAGGCCAGAGAGGUUGUCUUUCGAGCAACGGAGGAAUUUUUUUAGGAUGGCGAGCGAAUCUCCCACGGAUCUCAACGCUAAUGGAAAUGAACCUACGAUUCAGACUAUUAUAAAAAACCCAAGGACGAAUGUAACCACAACUUCGUUGCAGACCAACUCUCAAAGCAGUACUACGACGACCAGAGUUAGCAAAUCGACGACCAGCUCGACGUCGACGAGUCAGCGUCGGCACGUCACCUCCGAUCUGAAGGCGUCUAACAUGAAAUCCGAUUUGGUCGAAUUGAAGAACAACCUCAACGACAUGAAGAACAGCCUGCCGAACACGCUCAUCAAGUUCAAGAGUUCGCUGGAGAACCUGGUGGACGCAGACGACGAGAUGAGCAACAUGACGUACAGUAGUCCGAUUGUGACGUUUCCUGAAGAUAACACGCCGUUGCCUUCCGAAAUGGGGUCGCCCACCAACAUCGUCGAUUCGCUCAAGUUCGAGCAGAAAACGAUGAAUAACUUCAAGAAAACUAUGGUGAUGAAAGACGGUAUGAGCGCCGAGAAGGAAAGCGCCAAGGUGGCGGAAUCGAAGAAAAUUCAAGCUGGCGAUCUGUCUUACGAGGAAAAUAGUGCAGCAGCCGCAACAAGGGCUAGAUUGGAAAUAGACGGAGUUUCAGCUGAAAAGAGUCAGCUAACAGCGAAGGAAGCGAGGUUACUGAAGGCGGGCGAGCUUAGUCAACAGGAAUCGAAAAACAUGGCCCAAACCAAUAUGAAACUCACGACGGACAAAUUCAGUAGCGAAAGGACAGCCAUCGAAUCCCAGCAACAGCGUCAAACGGUCACUACUAGUGGUAUAUAUAAUCAGGAAAAACAUAGUUCCAGUUCUAGUCACGUAUACACCUCCACUAAGGCUUCCAGUAACACUGCUGCUAUGAUGCAAUCUACAAGACAGUUCCACCUCAUGAACGGUACACCAGAAGAAUCGAUACUGAACACUUCCCUGGACGAUCUAGAUGGACUAUCCGCCCAAUCCGACGUUCACGACAUCGAAAGGGCGAAACACAAAUACUCCACAUACCUAGACGAAUCGAUACGCUGUUUGCAGAAAUUGGAUCAGAGCAAAGAUGCGCCUUUGAUCCUCAACAAAAUCAACGACGUGAUGUGUAAAGCCUGGGCUGUACCAACCUACGGCCACGAGCUGGGUUACGCGCUAUGCAACGCUCUCAGGAAUAGCGGAGGUCUAGAUUUAAUCAUGCAGAAUUGUACCAAAUCCGACAAGGAUCUUCAGUUUUCCAGCGCCAAGCUCUUGGAGCAAUGCCUGACAGCGGAGAACAGAGCACACGUUGUCGAGCACGGAUUGGAUAAGGUAAUUAACGUCGCCUGUGUUUGUACUAAAAACUCCAACGUGGACCAUUCGCGAGUUGGAACCGGCAUUCUUGAACACCUGUUCAAACAUAGCGAAGAAACUUGCAGCGACGUGGUUGGUCUAGGAGGCUUGGACGCACUCCUCUUCGAGUGCAGAAAGACAGACAUUGAAACAUUGAGGCACUGCGCCGGAGCUUUGGCUAAUCUUAGUUUGUACGGUGGGGCCGAAAAUCAGGAGGCCAUGAUAAAGCGCCAGGUGCCGAUGUGGCUUUUCCCUCUGGCAUUCCACAACGACGACAAUAUAAAAUACUACGCUUGCUUGGCCAUUACGGUGCUUGUGGCCAACCCUGAGAUAGAAGCUCAAGUGCUAUCGUCUGGCACCCUCAACUUGGUAGAACCUUUCGUCACCUCUCAUAACCCUUCAGAGUUCGCAAAGUCUAACCUCGCCCAUGCUCACGGGCAAAGCAAAACUUGGUUGAAGAAUUUGGUACCGGUGCUCAGUUCGAAACGAGAAGAGGCGAGGAACCUGGCCGCCUUCCACUUCUGCAUGGAAGCGGGUAUCAAGAAGCAGCAAGGAAACACCAAUAUGUUUUCGGAAAUCGGUGCCGUCGAGUCGCUGAAGAAAGUCGCGAGUUGUCCGAACGCUGUGGCUUCCAAGUACGCGGCGCAAGCUCUGCGUUUGAUCGGGGAGGAGGUACCGCACAAGCUCAGCCAGCAAGUGCCGCUCUGGUCUGCCGAAGACGUCGAAGAGUGGGUGAAACAGAUUGGGUUUCCUGAAAUCGCGUCAAGUUUUGUCGAUAGUAGGGUUGACGGGGAUCUUUUACUGCAACUGACUGAAGAUAAUCUUAGGGACGACAUUGGACUAACCAAUGGAAUCAAACGAAAGAGGUUCACCAGGGAACUGCAGCAGCUCAAAAAAAUGGCAGACUACACCUCAAGAGACACCGCUCACAUCAACAACUUCCUCCAACAACUCGGCCCCGAGUUCUCAAUAUACACCUACAGUUUCCUGAACGCGGGAGUAGAGAAAAAAGACUACCUUCGAAACAUCUCCGAAGACCAGCUCUUGAGCGAAGUCGGUAUCAAGAACUCCAUCCACAGAUACAGGAUCAUGGAGGGAAUAAGGCAGCUGGAAAACGGCCUCGUAAAUGGACUGAACGAGGAAAACAUGGACAAGUCUCUGGACGUCUUCGUCAGCUACAGGCGGUCGAACGGAUCACAGCUAGCCAGUUUGCUCAAGGUCCAUCUACAGCUGAGAGGGUUCAGCGUUUUCAUAGACGUCGAGAGGCUAGAGGCCGGGAAAUUCGACAACAACCUUUUGCAGAGCAUUCAGAAGGCGAAACACUUUUUGCUGGUGCUUACGCCGAACGCUUUGGACAGGUGUGUGGACGACAUUGAUAGAAAAGACUGGGUGCACAGGGAAAUUUGUGCAGCUCUAUCAGCGAACUGCAACAUAAUUCCGAUCAUAGACAACUUUACUUUUCCCGAAACAGAAACCUUGCCUGAAGACAUGCGACAAGUAUGUCAUUUCAACGCCGUGCGGUGGAUCCAUGACUAUCAAGACGCCUGCGUGGACAAACUCGAGAGGUUCAUGCGAGGCGAAGCGAAUCCACGGUGCGGAGACAAUCUGUUGAACCGCGUAGGCCUCAAGGGCGACAUCACUCCGGGUACCCCCUCGAAUCCUAGCCUAGUUAGGCAACCCCCGAAUUACCAGCGAAUGCACAGCAACGACUCUGGCAGCGGGAAAGGCUCCGACAAAGACGUCAACGGGAAUUCGGGGUUGACAAGAGAUUGACUAGAUGGCCCCUAUGCCUCGGUUACACCUACUCCACUGCCAAGUUCCUUCCUCCAGAUUCUGUAAGGCGAACAGUCCGUCCCGCAACUGGAUCAUGAACUCGAACAGGCUCGGGGGUCUCCCGCCGCAGUACCCGUACCCCCGGAGGGGUUCGAACACGCCCGUCUCAUCGCUGGCGCUGGCCAGCCACCCUCCGGCCCCGCCCAACAGAUCUCGUAGCCUCGACGGCCUCCUGGACGCCGGCGAGGCCAUCCAAGCAGCUUCAGAAGCAACUAAGAGUGAACAAGUUCCGUCCCCGCAGACCGCGACCAAGAGUUGCGACAACAUCGACAAGGAUUUUCGUGACGAUUAUGAGACUGAGAGUUAUUUAAGUAGUAAGAGUCGCGUUUCGGACGACAGCAGUGAACUCGACAAAUGUUCCGUUUAUAGCAGUUCGAGCGAAUCGAAACGCAAGAGGAACUUCAUGGACAGGUGCGUCAACAAAGUUCGGUCUAUGAUCAAGAAGUAAACGCCUGCAUGUGCGAAGAAGGGUAGGUAUAGAAUUGUGUGAAAGACUAGGGGUUUUCUUCGGUCAGGUUGAAGUCCACUUUCACUGAAAGGCUUGUGUCUUAUGUCGAAUGUUUCCUUUAAUUCUAGAAUGAUAUCAGUCUUCAGGUUUUAAUCUCUGUUGAUACGUGAAUUUACUGGAUACAUCGAUUUUUCAAACACUAUAACAGCUUCAACUAGGAUGUAAAAUCUAGAGAAUAUUUCUCUAAUACAAACUUUUGACAACAGUUGUCUGUAGACAGUUCUCUCCUAAAAAAUCAGAAAUUCUAGUCAACUUGCACUUGGACUUGUGGAAUUGCCAUGUUUUAUAAUGGAAAUUGAUUAGUGGGUAGUUAUUUGUUUGAAGGGAAGGUUUUAAUGGGAAUUUACAAAUGCAAAUAGAUACUUGUAUUAUCAACAGAAGAAAAGUAUUUUUGGAGAAACAAACUUGAAUAGUUCUGGUAGAUAUUAGAAAUUGGUUAAUUUCAGAUGUUCUCAUCUUCCAAGCAGUUAUGAAGGUUCGUAAAGAAUCAUUUGAAGAACUGAAGAAAGUCUUACAGUAACACAAUGUGAAACUUAUCAAACAGACAAAAGGAACAAGUUCAUCACACUUUUACUUCUAAUAUCCCCUAGUGUUUUCACCCAGUUUCUCCUACCUGAGUGUCGAUUUCAUCCCUAAUAUGACAUUAGAUUACCGAUUCCCUAUUGAACGGAUCGAUAAGUGAUAUUGUUAUUUAAUUUAUUUUCGUAUAUGGCAACUAAAUUACUUAGUACAAAACUAUUGUGCUUUCCUAUUGAAUUUGUAAAUAUUGUGAACUGUGUGAUUGUCGAGCAGCUUCAUAGAAUGUAUCAUGGCCUAUUUUUAGACCGAUUUUGAAGUAUUCAUAAGUGCUGUCAAAGUGAUCCUUCGUUUGACAUUACUUGUUUUCGAUUUUAACGUUUUUUAACAUGCGUAAUUUUAUUCUACCUGAGCUUGCUUACGUCUCUUGUGAGCAAGGCCCUGAGGUAUUGUAUAAUAUUGUGGAGCACCAUUUUUUCGGUUAAUUUUAUUGUAACUAUUCCGAAUGGUGCUCGUAAUUCUGCUUUAACAUUUAUUAUUAGCAAGUAUUUUAUAAGUAAAUCAUUGUUUUUUAUUCAUGUUAUAUUUAAAAAUAUAUUUUAUUAGGAUUA
This 5081-nucleotide unclassified non-coding RNA is filed under the name Leptinotarsa decemlineata (Colorado potato beetle). RNAcentral's name for it is "sterile alpha and TIR motif-containing protein 1, transcript variant X7". The record is from RNAcentral. Lineage: Eukaryota; Metazoa; Arthropoda; Insecta; Coleoptera; Chrysomelidae.